RNAcentral lists this ribosomal RNA (424 nucleotides) under uncultured bacterium. Its description in RNAcentral is "bacterial SSU rRNA". It matches the Rfam family "Bacterial small subunit ribosomal RNA", at positions 28 to 498 of the family's 1533-position model. The record is from RNAcentral.
GACGAACGCUGGCGGCAUGCCUAACACAUGCAAGUCGAACGAGACCUUCGGGUCUAGUGGCGCACGGGUGCGUAACGCGUGGGAAUCUGCCCUUGGGUUCGGAAUAACAGCGAGAAAUUGCUGCUAAUACCGGAUGAUGACGUAAGUCCAAAGAUUUAUCGCCCAAGGAUGAGCCCGCGUAGGAUUAGCUAGUUGGUGAGGUAAAGGCUCACCAAGGCGACGAUCCUUAGCUGGUCUGAGAGGAUGAUCAGCCACACUGGGACUGAGACACGGCCCAGACUCCUACGGGAGGCAGCAGUGGGGAAUAUUGGACAAUGGGCGAAAGCCUGAUCCAGCAAUGCCGCGUGAGUGAUGAAGGCCUUAGGGUUGUAAAGCUCUUUUACCCGGGAUGAUAAUGACAGUACCGGGAGAAUAAGCUCCGGCU